This is a non-coding RNA of Hordeum vulgare subsp. vulgare (domesticated barley), 136 nucleotides long. The record is from Rfam. Lineage: Eukaryota; Viridiplantae; Streptophyta; Magnoliopsida; Poales; Poaceae.
UUAGUACACCCUCCGUCCUAAAAUUCUUAUCUUAGAUUUGUCUAUAUAUGAAUGUAUCUAGUCAAGUUUUAAUAUUUAGAUACAUACAUUUUUAAACAAACCUAAGACAAGAAUUUUGAGACGGAUGGAGUAUAAC